This 497-nucleotide ribosomal RNA is filed under the name uncultured bacterium. Its description in RNAcentral is "partial 16S ribosomal RNA". It matches the Rfam family "Bacterial small subunit ribosomal RNA", at positions 28 to 507 of the family's 1533-position model. The record is from RNAcentral.
GAUGAACGCUGGCGGCGUGCUUAACACAUGCAAGUCGAGCGAACAGACGAGGAGCUUGCUCCUCUGACGUUAGCGGCGGACGGGUGAGUAACACGUGGAUAACCUACCUAUAAGACAGGGAUAACUUCGGGAAAUCGGAGCUAAUACCGGAUAACAUGUUGAACCGCAUGGUUCAACAGUGAAAGUCGGUCUUGCUGUCACUUAUAGAUGGACCCGCGCCGCAUUAGCUAGUUGGUAAGGGAACGGCUUACCAAGGCAACGAUGCGUAGCCGACCUGAGAGGGUGAUCGGCCAGCCUGGAACUGAGACACGGUCCAGACUCCUAGGGGAGGCAGCAGUAGGGAAUCUUCCGGAAUGGGCGAAAGCCUGACGGAGCAACACCGCGUGAGUGAUGAAGGUCUUCGGAUCGUAAAACGCUGUUAUUAGGAAAGAACAAAUGUGUAAGUAACUAUGAACGUCUUGACGGUACCUAAUGAAAAAGCCACGGCUAACUACGUG